RNAcentral lists this ribosomal RNA (109 nucleotides) under human gut metagenome. The record is from RNAcentral.
UGACAAUGACGCAGAGGACACACCUGUACCCAUACCGAACACAGUAGUUAAGCUCUGCGGUGCCGAUGAUACUUGGCGGGCAGCCGCCCGGGAAAGUAGGGCGUUGCUG